GUUGGUGUUGAUGAUGAUGAGGGUCCACCUGUUCCCAUACCGAACACAGAAGUUAAGCUCAUUAGUGCCGAAGAUACUUGGCUGGAGACGGCCCGGGACAAUAGGAAGAUGCCAACA
RNAcentral lists this ribosomal RNA (117 nucleotides) under Clostridium sp. The record is from RNAcentral. Lineage: Bacteria; Bacillati; Bacillota; Clostridia; Eubacteriales; Clostridiaceae.